GAUGAACGCUAGCGGGAGGCCUAACACAUGCAAGCCGAGCGGUAUUAUUUCUUCGGAAAUGAGAGAGCGGCGUACGGGUGCGGAACACGUGUGCAACCUGCCUUUAUCUAGGGGAUAGCCUUUCGAAAGGAAGAUUAAUACCCUAUAAUAUAUUUUUUGGCAUCGAAAGAUAUUGAAAACUCCGAUGGAUAGAGAUGGGCACGCGCAAGAUUAGCUAGUUGGUGAGGUAACGGCUCACCAAGGCAAUGACCUUUAGGGGGCCUGAGAGGGUGAUCCCCCACACUGGUACUGAGACACGGACCAGACUCCUACGGGAGGCAGCAGUAAGGAAUAUUGGGCAAUGGGUGCAAGCCUGAACCAGCCAUCCCGCGUGAAGGACGACUGCCCUAUGGGUUGUAAACUUCUUUUGUAUAGGGAUAAACCUACCCUCGUGAGGGUAGCUGAAGGUACUAUACGAAUAAGCACCGGCUAACUCCGUGCCAGCCGCCGCAGUAA
This 495-nucleotide ribosomal RNA is filed under the name uncultured bacterium. RNAcentral describes it as "partial 16S ribosomal RNA". It matches the Rfam family "Bacterial small subunit ribosomal RNA", at positions 28 to 523 of the family's 1533-position model. The record is from RNAcentral.